AUGAAGACGUCCAUUGGAGCUUUGUUCAUGUUCUUGUGGCUGUUGCUGGACCGGGUCAGCCAUGGAGAGAAAGUGGAUCAGCAUCCUUCUACCCUGAAUGUCCAGGAGGGAAACACCGCUGUUAUCAACUGUUCUUAUUCAGAUAGUACCUCAAGUUACUUUCCUUGGUAUAAGCAAGAACCUGGAAAAGGUCCCCAGCUCAGUAUAGACAUUCGUUCAAAUAAGGACAUAAACGAAGAUGAAAGACUCACUGUUUUCUUGAAUAAGGCGGCCAAACAUCUCUCCCUGCACAUCACAGCCACCCAACCUGGAGACUCAGCCGUCUACUUCUGUGCAGCGAGUACACAUUGCUUCCCAGGCACCUGCAUCCUGUACACAAACCUGCGAGGGGGCAGCCCCCUCUGCCUGGGACAGACCUGCAAGCACAGCAUUUGUGAAAUUGUCUGCAAGUGGAAUCUAAUGUGUUGUAUGUUAAAAACACAUAAUAGGAAGGUUAGUUUCAAGAUGACCCAGGAAGUGUUAAAAUAUUUUGUUGAAUGGCUAUUGCAUAUGGAUUCUUGA
Molecule: non-coding RNA, 561 nt
Organism: Myotis lucifugus (little brown bat)
Lineage: Eukaryota; Metazoa; Chordata; Mammalia; Chiroptera; Vespertilionidae
Source: the annotation of a RefSeq genome assembly